CCUACGGGGGACAGCAGUGAGGAAUAUUGGUCAAUGGUCGGGAGACUGAACCAGCCAAGCCGCGUGAGGGAUGAAGGUACAGAGUAUCGUAAACCUCUUUUGUCAGGGAACAAAGGCGGGGACGCGUCCCCGGAUGAGUGUAACUGAAGAAAAAGCAUCGGCUAACUCCGUGCCAGCAGCCGCGGUAAUACGGAGUAUGCGUGCGUUAUCCGGAUGUAUUGGGUUAAAGGGGUGCGCGGGCGGUUUGUAAAGUGAGCGGGAAAAGCCCGGGGCCCAAACCCGGCCCGCCGUUGAAACUGGGAGUCUCGAGUUGGAGAGAAGUAUGCGGAAUGCGCGGUGUAGCGGUGAAAUGCAUAGAUAUCGCGCAGAACUCCGAUUGCGAAGGCAGCAUGCCGGCUCCACACUGACGCUGAGGCACGAAGGCGUGGGUAGCGAAAGGGAUUAGAUACCCCAGUAGUC
Molecule: ribosomal RNA, 459 nt
Filed under: uncultured bacterium
Lineage: Bacteria
Description: partial 16S ribosomal RNA
Rfam family: Bacterial small subunit ribosomal RNA
Source: RNAcentral